GGUCCUAAGGUAGCGAAAUGCCUUGGCCGUUAAAUGCGGUCUUGCAUGAAUGAUGUAACGAUACAACAGCUGUCUCUACGAUUGACCCAGUGAACUUGAAUUAGCAGUGCAGAUGCUGCUUACCUCUAGCUGGACGAGAAGACCCUAUGCAGCUUUACUGUUACUAAUUAUAGGGUAUAGAAGGCAAAUUUUAGACAUAAGGUAUAUCGGUAGAUGAACAUGAAAAUCCUUUAUUUUUCUUUUAUAUUUUUGAAUGAAAUCAGGAAUAUAGUUUAUUAGCUAUAUUAGUGAUUUAACCUAGUUCAAAUAAUGGCCUUAGGUGAGGAACUAUUGUUAGGAGACAGUUUAUGCGGGGCACAGACCCCAUAAAGAGUAAAUGGG
This 381-nucleotide ribosomal RNA is filed under the name Pseudo-nitzschia australis. Its description in RNAcentral is "partial Bacterial large subunit ribosomal RNA". It matches the Rfam family "Bacterial large subunit ribosomal RNA", at positions 1947 to 2305 of the family's 2925-position model. Lineage: Eukaryota; Bacillariophyta; Bacillariophyceae; Bacillariales; Bacillariaceae. The record is from RNAcentral.